RNAcentral lists this ribosomal RNA (448 nucleotides) under uncultured bacterium. Its description in RNAcentral is "partial 16S ribosomal RNA". It matches the Rfam family "Bacterial small subunit ribosomal RNA", at positions 330 to 794 of the family's 1533-position model. The record is from RNAcentral.
UCCAGACUCCUACGGGAGGCAGCAGUGGGGAAUAUUGCACAAUGGGGGAAACCCUGAUGCAGCAACGCCGCGUGAGUGAGGAAGUAUUUCGGUAUGUAAAGCUCUCUCAGCAGGGAAUAGAAAAGAAGGUACCUGAAAAAGAAGCCCCGGCUAACUACGUGCCAGCAGCCGCGGUAAUACGUAGGGGGCGAGCGUUAUCCGGAUUCACUGGGUGUAAAGGGAGCGUAGACGGCCAUGCAAGCCAGGGGUGAAAGCCCGGGGCCCAACCCCGGGACUGCCCUUGGAACUGCAUGGCUGGAGUGCGGGAGGGGCAGGCGGAAUUCCUGGUGUAGCGGUGAAAUGCGUAGAUAUCAGGAGGAACACCGGCGGCGAAGGCGGCCUGCUGGACCGCGACUGACGUUGAGGCUCGAAAGCGUGGGGAGCAAACAGGAUUAGAUACCCUAGUAAU